RNAcentral lists this long non-coding RNA (442 nucleotides) under Elaeis guineensis (African oil palm). RNAcentral describes it as "long non-coding RNA (EGUI_LNC043544)". Lineage: Eukaryota; Viridiplantae; Streptophyta; Magnoliopsida; Arecales; Arecaceae. The record is from RNAcentral.
GGUCGUCCACCUCCGGCACCGUCCUCGGCCCCCCGCCGUUUGCGCCAUCCGCUGCAUUGGCCCCUGGCCUCCCGGUGAAUCUGCAGCCACGCCUUCUGCGGCAGCCUCCUACGCCGCCCUCACCUACCCCACCCCGUGCACUCCCCCUACGCCGCCCCCGCUCCUACCCGCCGUUGCUCUGUACCUCCGGCAUUGCAUCUCGACCCCCCCUGCCAUCUCCGAUCACUCGCAUCAUCCUUGGUUGCCCACUCCAUUCGCUCAAAAACAAAAAAAAAAAUCUGAAAUCGUUGUUUGGUCCGACAAUUUCAAUAAAAUCUUUAUUUGGGAUGGGGAUUUCAAUUUUUUUCAUCUGAUCUAUCCAGCUAGUCUGGAGAUGGACUGGGUUGGCUGUGUAAUCACUAUUUAAAGUGAUGAUUUUAUAACGAUAGUUUUAAAAAUAAAU